AGGUCACUGGGCCGCAACUGACGCUGAGGAGCGAAAGCAUGGGGAGCGAACAGGAUUAGAUACCCUGGUAGUCCAUGCCGUAAACGUUGGGCACUAGGUGUGGGGCUCAUUCCACGAGUUCCGUGCCGCAGCAAACGCAUUAAGUGCCCCGCCUGGGGAGUACGGCCGCAAGGCUAAAACUCAAAGAAAUUGACGGGGGCCCGCACAAGCGGCGGAGCAUGCGGAUUAAUUCGAUGCAACGCGAAGAACCUUACCAAGGCUUGACAUGCACCGGUAACACUCAGAGAUGGGUGCCCCGCAAGGUCGGUGUACAGGUGGUGCAUGGUUGUCGUCAGCUCGUGUCGUGAGAUGUUGGGUUAAGUCCCGCAACGAGCGCAACCCUCGUCCCAUGUUGCCAGCGGGUUAUGCCGGGGACUCAUGGGAGACUGCCGGGGUCAACUCGGAGGAAGGUGGGGAUGACGUCAAAUCAUCAUGCCCCUUAUGUCUUGGGCUUCACGCAUGCUACAAUGGCCGGUACAAAGGGCUGCGAUACCGCGAGGUGGAGCGAAUCCCAAAAAGCCGGUCUCAGUUCGGAUUGGGGUCUGCAACU
Molecule: ribosomal RNA, 589 nt
Filed under: Cellulomonadaceae bacterium CH41
Lineage: Bacteria; Bacillati; Actinomycetota; Actinomycetes; Micrococcales; Cellulomonadaceae
Description: bacterial SSU rRNA
Rfam family: Bacterial small subunit ribosomal RNA
Source: RNAcentral